Molecule: ribosomal RNA, 511 nt
Filed under: uncultured Acaulospora
Lineage: Eukaryota; Fungi; Glomeromycota; Glomeromycetes; Diversisporales; Acaulosporaceae
Description: SSU rRNA
Rfam family: Eukaryotic small subunit ribosomal RNA
Source: RNAcentral
AGCAGCCGCAGUAAUUCCAGCUCCAAUAGCGUAUAUUAAAGUUGCUGCAGUUAAAAGCUCGUAGUUGAAUUUCGGGGUCUGUCCGUCGGUCGGGCUUCACGGUCCGUACUGGUGUGAUGGGUUCCUACCUUCUGAAUAACCGGCAUGCCAUUCAGUUGGUGCGCCGGGGAAGCAGAGCUAUUACCUUGAAAAAUUAGAGUGCUUAAAGCAGGCUAGUGCUUGAAUAGAUUAGCAUGGAAUAAUAAAAUAGGACGGCAUGGUUCUAUUUUGUUGGUUUCUAGGAUCACCGUAAUGAUUAAUAGGGAUAGUUGGGGGCAUUAGUAUUCAAUUGUCAGAGGUGAAAUUCUUGGAUUUAUUGAAGACUAACUUCUGCGAAAGCAUUUGCCAAGGAUGUUUUCAUUAAUCAAGAACGAAAGUUAGGGGAUCGAAGACGAUCAGAUACCGUCGUAGUCUUAACCAUAAACUAUGCCGACUAGGGAUCGGACGAUGUUAAUUUUUAUUAGCUACGUUC